This 492-nucleotide ribosomal RNA is filed under the name uncultured bacterium. RNAcentral's name for it is "partial 16S ribosomal RNA". It matches the Rfam family "Bacterial small subunit ribosomal RNA", at positions 29 to 507 of the family's 1533-position model. The record is from RNAcentral.
AGUGAACGCUGGCGGUAGGCCUAACACAUGCAAGUCGAACGGCAGCACAGUAAGAGCUUGCUCUUACGGGUGGCGAGUGGCGGACGGGUGAGGAAUACAUCGGAAUCUACUUUUUCGUGGGGGAUAACGUAGGGAAACUUACGCUAAUACCGCAUACGACCUACGGGUGAAAGCAGGGGAUCUUCGGACCUUGCGCGAUUGAAUGAGCCGAUGUCGGAUUAGCUAGUUGGCGGGGUAAAGGCCCACCAAGGCGACGAUCCGUAGCUGGUCUGAGAGGAUGAUCAGCCACACUGGAACUGAGACACGAUCCAGACUCCUACGGGAGGCAGCAGUGGGGAAUAUUGGACAAUGGGCGCAAGCCUGAUCCAGCCAUACCGCGUGGGUGAAGAAGGCCUUCGGGUUGUAAAGCCCUUUUGUUGGGAAAGAAAAGCAGCAGGUUAAUACCCCGCCGUUCUGACGGUACCCAAAGAAUAAGCACCGGCUAACUUCGUG